RNAcentral lists this non-coding RNA (45 nucleotides) under Echinostoma caproni. Lineage: Eukaryota; Metazoa; Platyhelminthes; Trematoda; Plagiorchiida; Echinostomatidae. The record is from RNAcentral.
GCACUGCCGACGAGUCGCUGAUAGGACGAAACAGCUGUCCAGUGC